RNAcentral lists this long non-coding RNA (300 nucleotides) under Oryza brachyantha (malo sina). Its description in RNAcentral is "long non-coding RNA (OBRA_LNC002394)". Lineage: Eukaryota; Viridiplantae; Streptophyta; Magnoliopsida; Poales; Poaceae. The record is from RNAcentral.
UUAUAAGUGUACGGGAAAAAAAAACAGGUGCCCCGCGAUUUUUCAGGCCCUGGUUUGAUCUCACUUCGGGAAGUAAUAAUACGUGAAGCAACACUCGACGCGCGGCCGCAGCUCACCUAUCCGACACGUCUCCUCCACUCUCUCUCCCUCUUCCUCUCCCUCUCUCUCUCUCUCUACAAGAAGAUCUCUCUCUCUUCUCAGCGACACAGCAAGAAGAGUGGAACGGAACCCCAGAGCUGAAGGCUGAAGCUAUGGCGUCGUCCCUCAGCACCACCUCCCUCUCCACGCACUCGCCGGCNN